GGUAUUCGGAUCGGGUAUUUCGGG
RNAcentral lists this non-coding RNA (24 nucleotides) under Arabidopsis thaliana (thale cress). The record is from RNAcentral. Lineage: Eukaryota; Viridiplantae; Streptophyta; Magnoliopsida; Brassicales; Brassicaceae.